AUGUGACCUCAAAUCAGGUAGGACUACCCGCUGAACUUAAGCAUAUCAAUAAGCGGAGGAAAAGAAACUAACAAGGAUUCCCCUAGUAACUGCGAGUGAAGCGGGAAAAGCUCAAAUUUAAAAUCUGGCAGUCUUUUGGCUGUCCGAGUUGUAAUCUAGAGAAGUGCUAUCCGCGCUGGACCGUGUA
Molecule: ribosomal RNA, 187 nt
Filed under: Cortinarius anisatus
Lineage: Eukaryota; Fungi; Basidiomycota; Agaricomycetes; Agaricales; Cortinariaceae
Description: partial 28S ribosomal RNA
Rfam family: Eukaryotic large subunit ribosomal RNA
Source: RNAcentral